RNAcentral lists this long non-coding RNA (567 nucleotides) under Homo sapiens (human). RNAcentral describes it as "HSALNT0402912". The record is from RNAcentral. Lineage: Eukaryota; Metazoa; Chordata; Mammalia; Primates; Hominidae.
CUUCUCUCUCUCUGUCCUGCUCUGCCAUGGUAGAUGUGCUUGCUUUCCCUUUGCCUUCUGCCAUGAUUGUAAGUUUCCUAAGGUUUUCCAGCCAUGCUUCCUGUACAGCCUGCAGAACUGCUCUUUCCUUUAUAAAAUACCCAGUCUCAGGAUUCAAGCGAUUCUCCUGCCUCAGCCUCCUGAGUAGCUGGGACUACAGGUGCAUGCCACCACACCUGGCUAAUUUUUUUAUAUUAGUAGAGACAGGGUUUCACCAUGUUAGCCAGGAUGGUCUUGAUCUCCUGACCUCAUGAUCCGCCCGCCUUGGCCUUCCAAAGUGCUGGGAUUACAGGCGUGAGCCACUGUGCCUGGCCAGAUCGUGUAGACUUCAAUUGGCAGAGUUACUCAGUAUUAUUUACUUGGAAAAUCCUCUGUAACCUAAAAGUCCUAGCUCUCCUGACACUAAGGAUGACAAUGGAACACUUAAAUGGUAGCUGCCUAUGAAGGGCUGUCCCUCUACCCCCUUGUUCCCUCUGAAUCUGAAGCUAUUAGCCACUUACAAUCUUAAUAAACUAAAAUUUUUUUGGA